CAGUAGCCGCGGGAAUACGAAGGGUGCAAGCGUUAAUCGGAAUUACUGGGCGUAAAGCGCGCGUAGGUGGUUCAUUAAGUUGGAUGUGAAAGCCCUGGGCUCAACCUGGGAACUGCAUCCAAAACUGGUGAGCUAGAGUACGGUAGAGGGUAGUGGAAUUUCCUGUGUAGCGGUGAAAUGCGUAGAUAUAGGAAGGAACACCAGUGGCGAAGGCGACUACCUGGACUGAUACUGACACUGAGGUGCGAAAGCGUGGGGAGCAAACAGGAUUAGAUACCCCGGUAGUCCCUGUCUCUUAUAA
This 301-nucleotide ribosomal RNA is filed under the name uncultured bacterium. RNAcentral's name for it is "partial 16S ribosomal RNA". It matches the Rfam family "Bacterial small subunit ribosomal RNA", at positions 509 to 809 of the family's 1533-position model. The record is from RNAcentral.